UGUAACCACAUAUAUAAAACCAUAGAAAAUUUGAAUAUACGAACCAUUGUAAUCAAACAGUUUUUUGAGUUUUCUAUUUUAAUCUCAUAUUUCAUAUGAUAUUUCCCUUAUUCUCUUCAAACUGAAAAGAAACCAGAGUGUAUUUCGCAUCCAUCCGACAUCGAACACGAGUGAUGCAAUAAGGUCGUGUUUAACAAACAAAAAAGUGAUAAAGAGAAAAAGGAAAAAUUUCUGAUUGUUUUUAUUGAAAACGUUUAAUUCGAAAGUAAAGUAAAUAUGCCUGAUGAUAAAGAACCCAAAAAGUUAAAGGCAUGUUGUGCUUGUCCAGAAACAAGAAAAGCUAGAGAUGCUUGCUUAAUUGAGAAUGGAGAAGAAAAGUGCCAAAGCCUAGUUGAAGCUCAUAAAGAAUGUAUGAAAAAAUUAGGUUUUAAUGUAUAGUAUUAUCUGUCCUAUUUGUAGUCAAUGUAAAUUCAUCCUGUAUAAAAACCAAUAAAUUAUUUAAAAUCUU
Molecule: non-coding RNA, 508 nt
Organism: Parasteatoda tepidariorum (common house spider)
Lineage: Eukaryota; Metazoa; Arthropoda; Arachnida; Araneae; Theridiidae
Source: RefSeq, a predicted model, not a curated record